This 989-nucleotide long non-coding RNA is filed under the name Sus scrofa (pig). RNAcentral describes it as "lncRNA (ENSSSCG00050021676.1)". Lineage: Eukaryota; Metazoa; Chordata; Mammalia; Artiodactyla; Suidae. The record is from RNAcentral.
GUUGAACCAGUGCCACAGCAGCAACCUGGGCUGCUGCAGUGACAACACAGGAUCUUUAACCCACUGCACCAGAGGAAACCCCUUAUUUGUGUGAUUUUGUGAUUCAUGUUCAUUUCUCCUACUGGACCAUAUUUGCCAUGAACAUAAGGCUGUGUCUUUUUUUCCUUUGCUAUUUUAUCUCUUGUAGGCACUUGAUAAAUAUUUGUUAAAUAGAAUAAUUGUAAAUAGACUGACCCCCCGGAACUGUGAUUAUGCCUGACUUUGGGAUUAGAAGAAUCUGAUAACUCUUUUUUCUGGAUUGCACUUCCUCAUCCUAAAGAAUGACAAAAAAUUUGCACUCCAUCUAGGCCUCUCACCCAGAGGGAACAGAUUUCUAUUCCAAAAAUACAGAGGCGUGAGCCUCAAGUCUGCAUCUUCUAAAACAAGCCAUUAAAGCAAACAAAGAAGUUGAUGUUCUAUAAGAUAUAUUUAAUCAGAUGGCUGCUGCCUGCACAUCCACAGAGCAACUCACGUUCAAAUGAAUUUCCGAAUAAGAUAAUGACAGGACUAAGCUUCCUGAUAUCUUGUUGGAGGAGAUCAUCAAGAGACCAUGACCACUGGUUGACCUGCACCUGGAUCUGGAUGAUCAGAGACUCCCCACCCACAUCUCAUCCUUGGAACCCACGUUCUACCCCCUGUCCCAUGGUGGGAGCCAUUUUCAAGGGCAUGGCCUUGAGCGAGCAAUGUGUUGUUAGAGCCAUCUGGACAGUGUAUGGAACUGAUGGUUCACAUUGAGGCCUCUAUAUAGACUUUAUAUAAACUAUACAAACCUCGGUAUAAAGAUUCCCACAGCCUUGUAAAUUAACUAUACUUCAAUAAGACUUACAAAAUUAAAAACAGGAAAAAAAAUAUUUGUUAGGACUUCCCAUUGCAGCUCAGCAGGUUAAGAACCUGACCCUGACUUAGUGUCCAUGAGGAUGCAGGUUUGAUCCUUUGCCGUGCCCAUUGAG